GACGAACGCUGGCGGCGUGCUUAACACAUGCAAGUCGAACGGAAAGGCCCUGCUUUUGUGGGGUGCUCGGGUGGCGAACGGGUGAGUAACACGUGAGUAACCUGCCCUUGACUUUGGGAUAACUUCAGGUAACUGGGGCUAAUACUGGAUAGGAGUUCCUGCUGCAUGGUGGGGGUUGGAAAGUUUCGGCGGUUGUGGAUGGACUCGCGGCUUAUCAGCUUGUUGGUGGGGUAGUGGCUUACCAGGGCUUUGACGGGUAGCCGGCCUGGGAGGGUGACCGGCAACAUUGGGACUGGGAUACGGCCAAGACUCCUACGGGGGGCAGAAGUGGGGAAUAUGGCAAAAGGGGCGGAGGCGUGAGGCAGAAACGCCGCGGGCGGGAGGACGGCCUUGGGGUGGUAAACCGCUUCCGCCUGUGACGAGGCGUGAGUGACGGUAAUGGGUAAAGAAGCACCGGCUAACUACGUG
This 468-nucleotide ribosomal RNA is filed under the name uncultured bacterium. Its description in RNAcentral is "partial 16S ribosomal RNA". It matches the Rfam family "Bacterial small subunit ribosomal RNA", at positions 28 to 507 of the family's 1533-position model. The record is from RNAcentral.